GACGAACGCUGGCGGCGUGCUUAACACAUGCAAGUCGAACGGAAAGGCCCUGCUUUUGUGGGGUGCUCGAGUGGCGAACGGGUGAGUAACACGUGAGUAACCUGCCCUUGACUUUGGGAUAACUUCAGGAAACUGGGGCUCAUACCGGAUAGGAGCUCCUGCUGCAUGGUGGGGGUUGGUAAGUUUCGGCGGUUGGGGAUGGACUCGCGGGUUAUCCGCUUGUUGGUGGGGUAGUGGCUUACCAAGGCUUUGACGGGUAGCCGGCCUGAGAGGGUGGCCAGCCACAUUGGGACUAAGAGACGGCCCAGACUCCUACGUGAGGCAGCGGUGGGAAAUAUGGCACAAUGGGCGGAAGCCUGAUGCAGCAGCGCCGCGUGCGGGAUAACGGCCUUCGGGGUGUAAACCGCUUUCGCCUGUAACGAAGCGGGAGUGACGGUAAUGGGUAAAGAAGCACCGGCUAACUACGUG
This 468-nucleotide ribosomal RNA is filed under the name uncultured bacterium. RNAcentral describes it as "partial 16S ribosomal RNA". It matches the Rfam family "Bacterial small subunit ribosomal RNA", at positions 28 to 507 of the family's 1533-position model. The record is from RNAcentral.